RNAcentral lists this ribosomal RNA (248 nucleotides) under uncultured bacterium. RNAcentral describes it as "partial 16S ribosomal RNA". It matches the Rfam family "Bacterial small subunit ribosomal RNA", at positions 85 to 334 of the family's 1533-position model. The record is from RNAcentral.
UUGCUGGCGACCGGCGCACGGGUGAGUAACACGUAUCCAACCUGCCCUUUACUCGGGGAUAGCCUUUCGAAAGAAAGAUUAAUACCCGAUAGCAUAAUGAUUCCGCAUGGUUUCAUUAUUAAAGGAUUCCGGUAAAGGAUGGGGAUGCGUUCCAUUAGGUUGUUGGUGAGGUAACGGCUCACCAAGCCUUCGAUGGAUAGGGGUUCUGAGAGGAAGGUCCCCCACAUUGGAACUGAGACACGGUCCAA